Molecule: ribosomal RNA, 468 nt
Filed under: uncultured Nitrosomonas sp.
Lineage: Bacteria; Pseudomonadati; Pseudomonadota; Betaproteobacteria; Nitrosomonadales; Nitrosomonadaceae
Description: bacterial SSU rRNA
Rfam family: Bacterial small subunit ribosomal RNA
Source: RNAcentral
GGGAGGAAAGCACGGGAUCGCAAGACCUUGCGCUAAAGGAGCGGCCGAUGUCUGAUUAGUUAGUUGGUGGGGUAAAGGCCUACCAAGGCAACGAUCAGUAGCUGGUCUGAGAGGACGAUCAGCCACACUGGGACUGAGACACGGCCCAGACUCCUACGGGAGGCAGCAGUGGGGAAUUUUGGACAAUGGGCGAAAGCCUGAUCCAGCCAUGCCGCGUGAAUGAAGAAGGCCUUCGGGUUGUAAAGUUCUUUUAGUUGGAAAGAAAAAAUUAUGAUGAAUAAUCAUAAUUCAUGACGGUACCGACAGAAAAAGCACCGGCUAACUACGUGCCAGCAGCCGCGGUAAUACGUAGGGUGCAAGCGUUAAUCGGAAUUACUGGGCGUAAAGGGUGUGCAGGCGGCCUUGUAAGUCAGAUGUGAAAGCCCCGGGCUUAACCUGGGAAUUGCGUUUGAAACUACAAAGCUAGAA